UACGGGAGGCAGCAGUGGGGAAUAUUGCACAAUGGGCGCAAGCCUGAUGCAGCCAUGCCGCGUGUAUGAAGAAGGCCUUCGGGUUGUAAAGUACUUUCAGUCGUGAGGAAGGUGUUAAGGUUAAUAACCUUAGCAAUUGACGUUAGCGACAGAAGAAGCACCGGCUAACCCUCCGUGCCAGCAGCCGCGGUAAUACGGAGGGUGCGAGCGUUAAUCGGAAUUACUGGGCGUAAAGGGCACGCAGGCGGUUAAUUAAGUUGGAUGUGAAAUCCCCGGGCUUAACCUGGGAAUGGCAUUCAAGACUGGUUAGCUAGAGUCUUGUAGAGGGGGUAGAAUUCCAUGUGUAGCGGUGAAAUGCGUAGAGAUGUGGAGGAAUACCGGUGGCGAAGGCGGCCCCUGGACAAAGACUGACGCUCAUGUGCGAAAGCGUGGGGAGCAAACAGGGAUUAGAUACC
Molecule: ribosomal RNA, 455 nt
Filed under: uncultured bacterium
Lineage: Bacteria
Description: bacterial SSU rRNA
Rfam family: Bacterial small subunit ribosomal RNA
Source: RNAcentral